GGCCCCUUGGUCAAGCGGUUAAGACACCGCCCUUUCACGGCGGUAUCAGGGGUUCGAGUCCCCUAGGGGUCA
RNAcentral lists this transfer RNA (72 nucleotides) under Tindallia magadiensis. RNAcentral describes it as "tRNA_Glu_TTC". It matches the Rfam family "tRNA". Rfam says of the family: Transfer RNA (tRNA) molecules are approximately 80 nucleotides in length. Their secondary structure includes four short double-helical elements and three loops (D, anti-codon, and T loops). Lineage: Bacteria; Bacillati; Bacillota; Clostridia; Peptostreptococcales; Tindalliaceae. The record is from RNAcentral.